AUUACUUCAAUAUUUCUCAAUUCAUUUUCAAUCAUGACCAAAAUGUUUUCAAAAUUACACCAAGCAUCUGAUAAGGCCAGAAGGAUUCUUUUGGGAGCCAGAAACAACCCGCUUUUUUCUGUGUGUUUCGGGAGCCACGUAAACAUGGUGGAGCAAAGCUCCUUUUCUAAAGUUCAGGCUCUUUACGAACUCUGCACUACCACCUUCACGCCUUUGGGGAUUCCUUCUUCUUCUUCCCCGGCUAUCAGCAAGC
Molecule: unclassified non-coding RNA, 253 nt
Filed under: Hevea brasiliensis (rubber tree)
Lineage: Eukaryota; Viridiplantae; Streptophyta; Magnoliopsida; Malpighiales; Euphorbiaceae
Source: RNAcentral